AUUGAACGCUGGCGGCAGGCCUAACACAUGCGAGUCGAGCGGAUGAAGGGAGCUUGCUCCUGGAUUCAGCGGCGGACGGGUGAGUAAUGCCUAGGAAUCUGCCUGGUAGUGGGGGAUAACGUCCGGACACGGGCGCUAAUACCGCAUCCGUCCUGAGGGAGAAAGUGGGGGAUCUUCGGACCUCACGCUAUCAGAUGAGCCUAGGUCGGAUUAGCUAGUUGGUGGGGUAAAGGCCUACCAAGGCGACGAUCCGUAACUGGUCUGAGAGGAUGAUCAGUCACACUGGAACUGAGACACGGUCCAGACUCCUACGGGAGGCAGCAGUGGGGAAUAUUGGACAAUGGGCGAAAGCCUGAUCCAGCCAUGCCGCGUGUGUGAAGAAGGUCUUCGGAUUGUAAAGCACUUUAAGUUGGGAGGAAGGGCAGUAAGUUAAUACCUUGCUGUUUUGACGUUACCAACAGAAUAAGCACCGGCUAACUUCGUG
RNAcentral lists this ribosomal RNA (484 nucleotides) under uncultured bacterium. Its description in RNAcentral is "partial 16S ribosomal RNA". It matches the Rfam family "Bacterial small subunit ribosomal RNA", at positions 30 to 507 of the family's 1533-position model. The record is from RNAcentral.